AUCUCUUCAGAGACAUCUGAUAAAAUUGGAACAAUGCAGAGAAGAUUAGCAUGGCCCCUAAGAAAGGAUGACAUGCAAAAAUCCAGGCGUCUCACCACAUUUCU
Small nuclear RNA from Phoenix dactylifera (date palm), 104 nucleotides. The record is from RefSeq and is a predicted model, not a curated record. Lineage: Eukaryota; Viridiplantae; Streptophyta; Magnoliopsida; Arecales; Arecaceae.